Molecule: non-coding RNA, 23 nt
Filed under: Arabidopsis thaliana (thale cress)
Lineage: Eukaryota; Viridiplantae; Streptophyta; Magnoliopsida; Brassicales; Brassicaceae
Source: RNAcentral
AGCAGAUCCGAGCGGAGAUGAGG